RNAcentral lists this ribosomal RNA (497 nucleotides) under uncultured bacterium. Its description in RNAcentral is "partial 16S ribosomal RNA". It matches the Rfam family "Bacterial small subunit ribosomal RNA", at positions 28 to 507 of the family's 1533-position model. The record is from RNAcentral.
GACGAACGCUGGCGGCGUGCCUAAUACAUGCAAGUUGAGCGCUGAAGGUUGGUACUUGUCCCCACUGGAUGAGCAGCGAACGGGUGAGUAACGCGUGGGGAAUCUGCCUUUGAGCGGGGGACAACAUUUGGAAACGAAUGCUAAUACCGCAUAAAAACUUUAAACACAAGUUUUAAGUUUGAAAGAUGCAAUUGCAUCACUCAAAGAUGAUCCCGCGUUGUAUUAGCUAGUUGGUGAGGUAAAGGCUCACCAAGGCGUUGAUACAUAGCCGACCUGAGAGGGUGAUCGGCCACAUUGGGACUGAGACACGGCCCAAACUCCUACGGGAGGCAGCAGUAGGGAAUCUUCGGCAAUGGACGAAAGUCUGACCGAGCAACGCCGCGUGAGUGAAGAAGGUUUUCGGAUCGUAAAACUCUGUUGGUAGAGAAGAACGUUGGUGAGAGUGGAAAGCUCAUCAAGUGACGGUAACUACCCAGAAAGGGACGGCUAACUACGUG